CCUACGGGAGGCAGCAGUAGGGAAUAUUGCUCAAUGGGGGAAACCCUGAAGCAGCAACGCCGCGUGGAGGAUGAAGGUUUUCGGAUUGUAAACUCCUUUUGUUAGAGAAGAUAAUGACGGUAUCUAACGAAUAAGCACCGGCUAACUCCGUGCCAGCAGCCGCGGUAAUACGGAGGGUGCAAGCGUUACUCGGAAUCACUGGGCGUAAAGAGCACGUAGGCGGGAUAGCAAGUCAGAUGUGAAAUCCUAGGGCUUAACCAUAGAACUGCAUUUGAAACUGUUAUUCUAGAGUAUGGGAGAGGUAGGUGGAAUUCUUGGUGUAGGGGUAAAAUCCGUAGAGAUCAAGAGGAAUACUCAUUGCGAAGGCGACCUGCUAGAACAUAACUGACGCUGAUGCGCGAAAGCGUGGGGAGCAAACAGGAUUAGAUACCCCAGUAGUC
Molecule: ribosomal RNA, 440 nt
Filed under: uncultured bacterium
Lineage: Bacteria
Description: partial 16S ribosomal RNA
Rfam family: Bacterial small subunit ribosomal RNA
Source: RNAcentral